RNAcentral lists this ribosomal RNA (253 nucleotides) under uncultured bacterium. RNAcentral's name for it is "partial 16S ribosomal RNA". It matches the Rfam family "Bacterial small subunit ribosomal RNA", at positions 524 to 776 of the family's 1533-position model. The record is from RNAcentral.
UACGUAGGGGGCAAGCGUUGUCCGGAUUUAUUGGGCGUAAAGAGCGUGUAGGCGGCUAGAUAGGUCCGUUGUGAAAACUCGAGGCUCAACCUCGAGACGCCGGUGGAAACCAGCUAGCUAGAGUCCGGAAGAGGAGAGUGGAAUUCCUGGUGUAGCGGUGAAAUGCGCAGAUAUCAGGAAGAACACCGGUGGCGAAGGCGGCUCGCUGGGCCAGUUCUGACACUCAUCCGCGAAAGCGUGGGGAGCGAACAGG